This 550-nucleotide ribosomal RNA is filed under the name Miocalles sp. ARC3493. RNAcentral describes it as "SSU rRNA". It matches the Rfam family "Eukaryotic small subunit ribosomal RNA", at positions 32 to 581 of the family's 1831-position model. Lineage: Eukaryota; Metazoa; Arthropoda; Insecta; Coleoptera; Curculionidae. The record is from RNAcentral.
UUGUCUCAAAGAUUAAGCCAUGCAUGUCUCAGUACAAGCCAAAUUAAGGUGAAACCGCGAAAGGCUCAUUAAAUCAGUUAUGGUUCCUUAGAUCGUACCCACAAUUACUUGGAUAACUGUGGUAAUUCUAGAGCUAAUACAUGCAAAUAGAGCUCCAACCGGAGACGGAAGGAGUGCUUUUAUUAGAUCAAAACCAAUCGGUGGCGGUUGGUGACUCUGAAUAACUUUACGCUGAUCGCACGGUCAUAGCACCGGCGACGCAUCUUUCAAAUGUCUGCCUUAUCAACUGUCGAUGGUAGGUUCUGCGCCUACCAUGGUUGUAACGGGUAACGGGGAAUCAGGGUUCGAUUCCGGAGAGGGAGCCUGAGAAACGGCUACCACAUCCAAGGAAGGCAGCAGGCGCGCAAAUUACCCACUCCCGGCACGGGGAGGUAGUGACGAAAAAUAACGAUACGGGACUCAUCCGAGGCCCCGUAAUCGGAAUGAGUACACUCUAAACCCUUUAACGAGGAUCAAUUGGAGGGCAAGUCUGGUGCCAGCAGCCGCGGUA